AUGAACGCUGGCGGCGUGCCUAAUACAUGCAAGUCGAGCGAACAGACGAGGAGCUUGCUCCUCUGACGUUAGCGGCGGACGGGUGAGUAACACGUGGAUAACCUACCUAUAAGACUGGGAUAACUUCGGGAAACCGGAGCUAAUACCGGAUAAUAUAUUGAACCGCAUGGUUCAAUAGUGAAAGACGGUUUUGCUGUCACUUAUAGAUGGAUCCGCGCCGCAUUAGCUAGUUGGUAAGGUAACGGCUUACCAAGGCAACGAUGCGUAGCCUACCUGAGAGGGUGAUCGGCCACACUGGAACUGAGACACGGUCCAGACUCCUACGGGAGGCAGCAGUAGGGAAUCUUCCGCAAUGGGCGAAAGCCUGACGGAGCAACGCCGCGUGAGUGAUGAAGGUCUUCGGAUCGUAAAACUCUGUUAUUAGGGAAGAACAAAUGUGUAAGUAACUAUGCACGUCUUGACGGUACCUAAUCAGAAAGCCACGGCUAACUACGUG
RNAcentral lists this ribosomal RNA (496 nucleotides) under uncultured bacterium. RNAcentral describes it as "partial 16S ribosomal RNA". It matches the Rfam family "Bacterial small subunit ribosomal RNA", at positions 29 to 507 of the family's 1533-position model. The record is from RNAcentral.